CUAUGCUCAGCUAGACGUUCUAGAUUAUGCCAAUACAACUUAGCUUGGCUGAUUAACUUUAUUUUGGCAAAUCUAAUUUUUUAAGCUUCAGACAUGUCAUACCACUUGAAGAAGUGGUCCAUAUCUGCCUCCCAGUCCAAAUACUCCUUAGGAUUAAGCGAACCAUCGAAGCUGGGUGCUUCUACCUUAACAUUUCUUAGGACAUGCUCAUCCUGAUCCAUGGGCUCAUGACAAGGGCGCAUAUCUAACCUACAACCCAUAUCUAGACCCU
RNAcentral lists this long non-coding RNA (271 nucleotides) under Elaeis guineensis (African oil palm). Its description in RNAcentral is "long non-coding RNA (EGUI_LNC008918)". The record is from RNAcentral. Lineage: Eukaryota; Viridiplantae; Streptophyta; Magnoliopsida; Arecales; Arecaceae.